Long non-coding RNA from Sphaerodactylus townsendi, 176 nucleotides. RefSeq lists it as uncharacterized. The transcript is spliced from 3 exons. NCBI's taxonomy places the organism in Eukaryota, Metazoa, Chordata, Lepidosauria, Squamata, Sphaerodactylidae. The record is from RefSeq and is a predicted model, not a curated record.
CUAAUUAUUUGUGUGUGCCGAGAGGGGGUUACUAAUUGGGGAUUUUGCCAUGCGAUUUUUGCCUUAGUUACGCCCCUCCUCUCAGCAGUAGCGCACAGAACUUGAAGCAGUCUAUGAGAGGUGGCAAUCCGGUGUGCGUGGCAGGAAGCCCGGCGCCUGCGUGCAUUGUUUCCCAC